Molecule: long non-coding RNA, 1396 nt
Organism: Calypte anna (Anna's hummingbird)
Lineage: Eukaryota; Metazoa; Chordata; Aves; Apodiformes; Trochilidae
Exons: 3
Source: RefSeq, a predicted model, not a curated record
CUCCCUGCACCUUUUUCCUCUCUUUCUCCUGUAAGCAAAGCGCUUUGCUCCCCGCCGAGGCUGACUUGCAAGCAGAGGUCGGGGCGCCGGGCUCUCCGCUCAGCCGCUGCCCAGCUCUGCGCGGCGCCGGGCAGCGGGAGGGGGUGUGCAACGCACUCUCACGCAAGCUCGCCCGCAAACGCGGUCCCUUUAAGGGGAGGGUGCCAUGAGGCAACCUAACCCGCCUGUUUGGUCAGGAGGGAGUAACUGGAAUCUGGAGUUUGACCGGGACAGCCCUGAGAGGCGAUGAAAUGCUUCGGUGCGGAGCCGCGCAAGGACUAGCGCCCCGGGCCGCGCAGGGACGCGCAGCGACGCGCAGCUGCCCGCGGAGGAACCUACCGCCGCGCAACCCCUUUCCGCGCAGCCAGGAGGUGUCUCCUUGGGGCCACAAACAACAACAGGGAAGUUGUCAAGCCAACAAAAUCAAAGAGCCCGGCUCUCCAGGGCUUGGUGCCUUCGAUUUCUCCAUGAGCACAGCGUAUAUACCAAGUCAACUGCGCAGAUGACAAAAUCUCAAAACUGCUUCCCCCAGCUGAACAUUCUUCACAGGGCUGUGUGUGCACCCAUCCAUGCUCCACACCAGAACCUGCUGGCCCAUGAACACUGUGGAUGUGGAUGCUAGACAGCUGGCCCUGGAGUUGGAGGUCCUUAAACUCCCGUGGGCAACAUCAGAGGUCUCAGAGACAAAGUCAGCUGGAGGAACAAAGAAACUGAGAAGCUUGAGAUGUGUCUCCCAUGACCCCAUGAAGCUUACAGGAGUUGCUAAAUUGCUGGAUGUCUUUAUUGUUUUAUGUCCUUUUUUAUCUGCCUGUCAGGGUAUUGUCUCUGUGAAGAACAGCAGGCACUGAACAAAAUCAAAGUGGUUGAUGAUUAUCUCAGUGAACUGCUUGGAGAAUGCAGUCAGUGGUCACAGUAAAGCUGGCUGGUGGAGAGAGUCUUAUAUAGAAGCUGGAAUAAAAUACCUGAGAAGUAAUUGAUCACAGGUAACAUUUACCCCUAACUGUGCAAGCCCUGUUUUAGACUAGAAUUCUUUUAUAUCAAAAUAGACAUCACAGGCUAUAUUUUGGUAACAGCAAAUUUAGUAGGCUACUGUGAUAUAAAUAAAAUAAAUGUUGAGGGUCCUGAAGCAAGGGAGAUUAUCGGAACUCCUACUGACUUCAGCAGGAACAAGUUUGAGCCUGGAGUGAUUUGGCUCAUAACUGUUCAGCUAGAUUGAAAGAAAAAGAGUCUGGGAUUUUUUUGAUCAAAGAUUUUAUUAAUGUCCAACAAGGAUACUGUUUAAUCUUAAAAAAAAAAAGUACAUCAAUUGUUUGGAUUCUGAGCUCUGUGUUACACUAAUUCUUGGACAGGCAAAUUG